RNAcentral lists this ribosomal RNA (420 nucleotides) under Lucioblivio kozaensis. RNAcentral describes it as "partial 16S rRNA". It matches the Rfam family "Bacterial large subunit ribosomal RNA", at positions 1946 to 2621 of the family's 2925-position model. Lineage: Eukaryota; Metazoa; Arthropoda; Malacostraca; Amphipoda; Luciobliviidae. The record is from RNAcentral.
UCGUGCUAAGGUAGCGUAGUCAUUUGUUUUUUAAUUGAAAACUGGAAUGAAUGGAUUAACUUUUAUUAGAUGUAUCUCUACGGUAUAUAAAAUUAAAGGCUAGGUAAUAAUUCUUAGAUAUAUUGAGGGACGAUAAGACCCUAAAAUCUUAAAAAUUAGAUAUUUAUAGUUAUAUGAGUUUAAUAUUUUUAGCUGGGGCAGUGUCUGUAAGUUAACUACUUAAAAAAUUCAGGAUCCCUACAAUAAGGAUAAAGAGAGUUAGAUACUUUAGGGAUAACAGUAUAAUAUCUAUGAAUAGUUCGUAUUGAUAUAGAUGGUUAUGACCUCGAUGUUGAAUUAAUAUAUCUAUAUGGGGCAGAAAAUAUAUCAGAGGGUUUGUUCAACCUUUAAUUUAUUACAUGAUCUGAGUUCAAACCGGAU